Molecule: long non-coding RNA, 2645 nt
Organism: Daphnia magna
Lineage: Eukaryota; Metazoa; Arthropoda; Branchiopoda; Diplostraca; Daphniidae
Exons: 2
Source: RefSeq, a predicted model, not a curated record
GGGACAGAACCAAUAUAAAAAACAAUCAAAUGACCGGGAAAUUCAAUUUUAACAAACGUCUUGUAUCCUGCGAAUUGUUGUAAUGUAUGCUUGGGAAAUCCCCAUUCCACCUAUUUUUAGUGCGUUUAACUUGGUUUUACCCUCUGUUUUGCUAUUGUUUUUUUCGUAGUCGUCAAAAGGAAAAAAGUUUGAAAAGAGGCCAAAGGUUCAAACCUCGUGCAUGGAGGCUAUUCUUGUAAUCCCAUAUUAUCACGCUACAAGAAUUAGCCGUACGAGAGGGUUAGAAGAGUUUCGUUUUAUUUUUUUUAUUUCAUUAAUACACACACAAAAUACCCUUUUCAACUGGGUUUUCUAUAGUAAAGGCUACUCAUCGCUAUCGUACUCUGUUUAAUGAGUGCAUACAUAUACGGCAUGGCAUUGUCGAUUUCCUUUUCCAAAGAGACGAGCUGAGGGCUCAACUGAUGUAAAAGAAACUCAACGAGAGAAGAUCUAGUGAGAUGACCUACUUGACUUUCUCCCAACUUUUCUCCCCUUCUUUUCGUCUUACUCUCUUUUCUUUGUCUUUCUCUCUAAAGCUAUCUGUCUAUGCAUCGCCCCCUUAUAUUCCGUUUUGCUUAUUCAUAUACCUAUUCUUCUGCUAACAGUCGUCUACCUGGUAGACCGAGAUCGCUUUCGCCCCGAUUCUAUGUGAUGCUGUCUGCCGUACGUUAGUGCCGGUACCUGGGCAAAGGUGCCAUACACCAAACACCCAUUUCGUAGCGUGUAAUACUUAUACUACGCGCGUGCAAUAUAAGAGAGGAAAAGAGGACGACCCGUCCAAUAUAUACCUCCUUUUCUUGUACCCAUAUACGUUUUAGUCGUUUCACCUGCAUAUGCCCCUUUUUCCCAACAUGACCCCGUCUGUGUGUGAUGUGCGUACUCCCUGAAAAGACCAGACAGACCAGACACCGAAGAGAAAGAAGGGGAAAAACUUUCUCCAUUGACGCAGUUCUCCAUUCGUUGGCAUUCUUUUAUUCAACCUGCAUUUGUCGUAUUGGCUGUCUUGCUGAUUUUUUCAGUUUGCUCGGCUUGCCAUCUUCAAAAACGUCAAUUCAAAUCAGCAAGUUAAUUAUUUUUGUUUGUUUGUUUGUUUUUUCGUUGUUAUAUACCAACUGGUCGAGAAUGGGUCGGCAGCUUUCGUUCGAAUUCUUGCCACUCCCUAAAUGAGGAUUUGGAAAACGCGGAAAUCAGAUUGGAUAAUAAAGAAAGUAUCUGGUAGAGCUAUAAAAAUAAUAAUUUUGGCGAAGCAACAAACCAGCAGAGAGAAAGGGGGCUACCGAAAAUACCGGAUUGACGUGUAUGUCCGGAUUGUAGUAUGUGCGUAUGUACAAAGAAAAACUGUUAUGGUAACCCACUCACGCAUCAACAGCAGGAUUCCAUUCAUUCGACUUUCUCCUCGGUGUAAUGAAGUCACGUCGCAUGUUUGGUAAGAAAUCAACCAAAAGAAAAGAAAAAAAGAAAAAAGGAAUCGGACGAUUGGGCAAAAGGGCGUGGCGCGUUUUUCAAUUGGCUAUCUUUGAUGUCUCUCCUUUUCUUUCUCUUCAUCGCUACCAGAAUAGAAGAAGAAAACAAAAAAUGCCAGUGAUUUUUAUCGGCGGUCGGCGAUACGUCGACCAACUUCACAUUUCUCAACCGAACUUGAUCACUUCAUAAUCGUAGACAUAUAGUAUUUUCUCUCUUUGUCCAAAUGUUUUCUCUCAUUCUCAGUCAAUCUGCUGCCGUUGGGUUGGACACGGUUUCUCUUCGACACGUCCCGGCGAUAGCUCUCCAAUCCAUCAUGCGUGUAUGUGAGAACAAAGCAGCCCACAGUAGUCAAACUUCGUGUAAACUAAAUACUAAAACUAGGCAACAACAACAACAAAAUUCUCUUACAUUCUCGAGUCUUAUGUCUUUGUAAUGGCUGCUGACUGGCCGUGGUACCUGUUGCUAUAUUGCCGGUAGCAGCCAAGAAAAAAACAGGCACACACGCAGCAAGGCAAACACUUUCACCUGGGAAGACGUGCAUCUUAUAUCCAAAAUGGUUUUCUUCAAAACUAUAAUUCGAAUAUCAGAAGAGGGGAAGAAAAAAAGAGAGAACAGGCCAUACCUUUGACCUCCUCUUCGUCCUCUAGAGGAUUUUCCAUUUUUAUGUCAUUCGAGGAGAGGCAAGGCCUUUGCUAUACAGGUGAAGAGGUAUCACUUUCAUCAAGAUAAUAUAUACUCUCUAAAUCAAGAGUAGCCCCCCUAAUGUUUUGUUUUCUCUCGUUUUAAGUCGUUCUUGUCCAUCCCAUCUUAUUACUAUUCCUGCAGCUAUGCCCUUCAUUCUUUUGUUUUUGUUUUCUUCUGUACGGCAUCAAUUCUCUAGUCGGCACUUAAAUCAAUUCAUCUCGAUAUUACAAGAGAUCCGUGACCUGUUUCCAGUGACCGAAUAAAAGCUUAAUACAAAGGAGACAGAGGCCUUGUCCAUUAUUCGAAAUUCCAAAGCCUCUUGGACAGAAAUAAACCAGGGGAAAAAUAAAGGAGACUGAAGAAAAGCUUCCUUUCUGUAUGCGCAAGUCGUGUAUUGAUGAUUAAUGAAUGGGCGAAAAUUGUGUAAUGAAUACAAGAGAAAGGGUGAAUGUUUUAAA